Molecule: long non-coding RNA, 263 nt
Organism: Episyrphus balteatus (marmalade hoverfly)
Lineage: Eukaryota; Metazoa; Arthropoda; Insecta; Diptera; Syrphidae
Exons: 2
Source: RefSeq, a predicted model, not a curated record
GUGCACCAAUGCACCCGGAUGUGAUGCGAAUGACUGGGAAUCGACGGCAUAGAAUAACGAAUUAGUAGGAGAUAUCAACAAAGGAAUCCACCGUGUAUUCACUAAGUGGAGGGAAUACUGGACAUCCAAAAGUGCACAAACAACAGCAGCAACAACAAAUAAAAAGAUUUAUUUUAUUUAAUAUGUGAUUUAAUAUUGUAUUUAUUGUAAUUUCUUUUGCUAAAAAAAACAUUAAAAUUAAAAAAAAAAACAUUUUCAGUGAA